CUCAUCCAUGGACAGAUCGAGUGGAGGCCGAUGACAAUAACCACGAAAGGACUAACCCUUCGAAGACCCCAUGUGGCUGUCUGGUGCUCCUCGUCAACAAGCGAGUUGAGCGGAUGCCUAUGAUAAUUUGAUAAAAAUCAUCAUGAAUCGACUUUGGAUCAACCUUGGAUGACUCCUCAUAGGGAUCCUCUUGAAUGUCUCCAUAGGAAUU
This 211-nucleotide long non-coding RNA is filed under the name Elaeis guineensis (African oil palm). RNAcentral describes it as "long non-coding RNA (EGUI_LNC031376)". The record is from RNAcentral. Lineage: Eukaryota; Viridiplantae; Streptophyta; Magnoliopsida; Arecales; Arecaceae.